This 934-nucleotide ribosomal RNA is filed under the name uncultured bacterium. Its description in RNAcentral is "bacterial SSU rRNA". It matches the Rfam family "Bacterial small subunit ribosomal RNA", at positions 8 to 916 of the family's 1533-position model. The record is from RNAcentral.
AGAGUUUGAUCAUGGCUCAGAACGAACGCUGGCGGCGUGCCUAACACAUGCAAGUCGAGCGAGAAAGUCUCCGCAAGGGGAUGAGUAAAGCGGCGCACGGGUGCGUAACACGUGGAUAACCUGCCUUGAAGUCCGGAACAACCUUCCGAAAGGAGGGCUAAUACUGGAUAAGACCACGGGAGCUUCGGCUCCUGAGGUAAAAAGAUGGCCUCUGCAUGCAAGCUAUCACUUCUAGAGGGGUCCGCGGCCCAUCAGCUAGUUGGCGGGGUAAUGGCCCACCAAGGCUACGACGGGUAGCUGGUCUAAGAGGACGAUCAGCCACACUGGAACUGAGACACGGUCCAGACUCCUACGGGAGGCAGCAGUGGGGAAUUUUGCGCAAUGGGCGAAAGCCUGACGCAGCAACGCCGCGUGAGUGAUGAAGGUCUUCGGAUCGUAAAGCUCUUUCAGCCGGGACGAAACACCUGGAGCUAAUACCUCCGGGCUUGACGGUACCGGAAGAAGAAGCACCGGCUAACUCUGUGCCAGCAGCCGCGGUAAUACAGAGGGUGCGAGCGUUGUUCGGAAUUAUUGGGCGUAAAGCGCGUGUAGGCGGUGGUGCAUGUCGGGUGUGAAAGCCCUCGGCUUAACCGAGGAAGUGCGCCCGAAACUGCAUCGCUGGAGUGCCGGAGAGGGUGGCGGAAUUCCCGGUGUAGAGGUGAAAUUCGUAGAUAUCGGGAGGAACACCAGUGGCGAAGGCGGCCACCUGGACGGACACUGACGCUGAGACGCGAAAGCGUGGGUAGCAAACAGGAUUAGAUACCCUGGUAGUCCACGCCGUAAACGAUGGGAACUAGCUGUAGCGGGUGUUGACCCCUGCUGUGGCGAAGCUAACGCAUUAAGUUCCCCGCCUGGGAAGUACGGCCGCAAGGUUAAAACUCAAAGGAAUUGACGG